Non-coding RNA from Chiloscyllium plagiosum (whitespotted bambooshark), 1348 nucleotides. Lineage: Eukaryota; Metazoa; Chordata; Chondrichthyes; Orectolobiformes; Hemiscylliidae. The record is from RefSeq and is a predicted model, not a curated record.
CUCUCUGAGGCUCCCUCUAGAUAUCCUCAGGAACCGCCAGUGCGCCUGAAAGGGAAAAGGGUCCCUGGUGAAAACAUUCCAAGGAGGGCACCGUCUCCAACCGUACAUCCCCACCACCAUCACCAUCAUUCUGGAGCUGGUAUAGUAGAUGGGCCAGACAGCCCAAUGUGGGUCAGAGAUAUGGCUUCAAAAAAGAAAAAGGGACUGUUAUCAAAAGGAAAGAAACUGCUGAGGAAGCUUGGUGGAGUGAAGUGAUUCUUGUGGAUUCGGAAUAAUCCUGCACUUCCACUGUCUUAUUUCCACAUGAUGUCAUAGCUGCCCUUUACAUCCUUGCCUUAGAUAUGCACAAUGAUCUUAUUUUUUAAAACCCACUCAGUAAGAGAAGGUAUACGUUGUAUGUGCUGUCUGUAUUCAUUAACCUUCUCACCACCAAAAAGCCAUUAGGUUAAAGCUGUGAAAGUCUUGUGUUUGCUUACCUGGGUCAGUGUCCAGUGUUGCCCUUUCUUUUUACCUUCCCCCCCCACUCUGGAACUAUGGCUCUACGUUUCCAUCUCACAGUGAACAUUGUCUGAGCAACAAAGUGGCAUUCAACUGAAGAGGAAAACAAUUAGCAAACCCCCCUCUCUUUGCCACCUGAUGCAUUUCAUACCACAUACAUGAAAAUGCAUGCAUUUCCUUCAAAAUGUAUACUUGAUAUCAGUUUUUGUGUCUGAAACUGGUUAAAAUUGGUAUAUGUUCUUGAUAAAAUAAUGGCAUGCAAGAAAACAAGCCAGUGCAAGAAAUCAUACUUUAAUGUGUUCACUGAUAGAGUUUUACCUCCCCAUGAAAUUGCAGUUGAUGGGUUGUUUUAAGAGCAACACAGUUUUGUAUUACAACAAAAACAAUAAUUGGCUGAUUAAUGUGUUUUCACAUGCUGGCCACGACUGACCUUUAGACCUUACCAGGUAUGGCUAUGGAAGUAUGCUAAUAAAUAUUAACCAGCCAAUUAAACAGAUUUCCUACAUGCCUUUAAUUUAAUAUAAUGACAUUUAACUGAUGUUUCUCUUUUGUACAUUGGAUCAUUUGUAAAUUCUUGGUUUUACUGUUUUUAUACAUUAUUUACAGAUUGCCUUCCUUUUUGUAAAAUGUCCUUCCAAUGAAAUGAUGCUACUCCCUCCCCAGGUUGUGACUACAACAGUCAGACUACAGUGUAAAGUAUUGUAAAUUAUUGCUGUAUUCACAUGCUAUCCUUACUGAAGAGCUAACCAGCCUUUAAUAUGUUUGUGGUAACAGAUGUGGGUGCAUGCAUGUGUAAAUUUAUUCAUGUGUAAAAAGUUUUUAUAAAUAAAUAAUUCAAUUUUUUGCAGAA